This 467-nucleotide ribosomal RNA is filed under the name uncultured soil bacterium. Its description in RNAcentral is "bacterial SSU rRNA". It matches the Rfam family "Bacterial small subunit ribosomal RNA", at positions 26 to 518 of the family's 1533-position model. The record is from RNAcentral.
AGGACGAACGCUGGCGGCGUGCUUAACACAUGCAAGUCGAGCGGAAAGGCCCUUCGGGGUACUCGAGCGGCGAACGGGUGAGUAACACGUGGGCAACCUGCCCUCAGCUCUGGGAUAACUCCGGGAAACCGGAGCUAAUACCGGAUACGACCACUCCUGGCAUCAGGUGGUGGUGGAAAGUUUUUCGGCUGAGGAUGGGCCCGCGGCCUAUCAGCUUGUUGGUGGGGUCACGGCCCACCAAGGCGACGACGGGUAGCCGGCCUGAGAGGGCGACCGGCCACACUGGGACUGAGACACGGCCCAGACUCCUACGGGAGGCAGCAGUGGGGAAUAUUGCGCAAUGGGCGGAAGCCUGACGCAGCGACGCGCGUGAGGAUGAAGCCUUCGGGUGUAACCUCUUCAGCAGGGACGAAGCGAGAGUGACGGUACUGCAGAAGAGCACCGGCAACUACGUGCCAGCAGCCGAC